CGCGAGAAGACAAAGGCGCUCGCAGUGGAAUCGGGGCGGAAGUGGGAAGUGACCCGAAACUCAAGGCCCCAAGAAGCAGGUCUGAGCACAGUCUGGACUCUGCUGAACCGACCGGGAAACAGUUCUGGCAACUCUUCAAGAACAAAAGGUCAUGGUGAAUCUAAAUAUUUCUUCUUAAGGCUGGAGACUCACAUAUUGUUUGAUUUCUUGGUGUACUGAACCAAAGUCAUGGACCCAGGAUAAGGAAGAGAAUGAAUUUAGAGACGAAGUAGGGAAGGACAAACAAUACAUGUUAAUAGUUUCAUAAGAAUAUGUCUCAUACCUACACUGGCCCAAUAUAUUAUGAUAGAACCCAAGCAAGACCAUUUGGAAUAAAAAGUUUCUCAAAAACCACUGUCAAGGAACUUCCCUGGUGGUCCAGUGGUUAAGAAACCACCUUCCAAUGCAGCGGACAUGGAUUCAAUCCCUGUUCUGGAAAGUAAGAUUUCACACGCUGAGGGGCAACUAAACCUGUGCGGCUGCAACUACUGAGCCCGUGGGCCGCAACUAGAGAGCCCACGUGCCACAGCUGUGGAGCUCAGUGCUCUGGAUCACAACUAGAGAGCCCACUUGCCACAGCUGUGGAGCUCACGUGCUCUGGACUGCACACCAAAGCUAGGGAGAAGACCACAUGCCACAACCAAGACCUGAUGCAGUUGUAAAUAAGUAAAUAAAGAAACUAAGAUCCAGAAAUUCUAUCAAAAUGCACUUCUGAGGGCUGCUGGAGUGCAAAGCUUCCAGAACACACUGAAAGAAGGCUGUAAGUUGUGAAAUGAAAAAGUAAGUUUCCAUAUGUGUGAAAACAGUAUCUCACCGAGUCUUACAACAAGAGAACAAUUUCCCCCUGAAUUUGUGUGUAUUUAUUCUUUACACAAUUGUCCCAUUUCAGUGACAGUGUAUAUUACUCAGUUCUUUCUCCAGGUAGCUAUUUCAGUUUGAUUUCCUUUUUGCAAACCUGAUGCAUGUUGGUGUAAUAAUUACCGUGUUUUUUUUACCACUAUCUCUCAAAUGCCUGAAGAACAAUAAUAGUUCUCUGUGCCUCAGGGAGGCAUCCAGCUGAUAGCUGACGUUUGUUGAAGAAUCAUGUUACUUUUAGGCCAGCAUCUAAGUGGAUAACAAGUAGCAUAUCUCAUUCCUGGAACCAGUGAACAUUAUUCACAAAUCUUUCUGUUACUUUCAGACAAUAUUAAUAGUAUAAAAAAUAUAUUAUCUUCUAUUUAUGUUAUUCAUCAAAAAAGUUAAUACUAUGAUGUUUACUGCCCUUAGAAAUUUAAUAUCUAUACUAUAUGCUGAAAUUUAUCAAAUUCUAUAUUGUUAUGCUGAUAUAUUAUGCAGCAUUAAAGAGUUUAAAGAAUUUUAUCUCACUUGUGAUCUGAAAUCUAGGUAGAGAAAAUCAGUUCUUUACUGUCUUCAUAACACAGGGAAGACUAUAAAUUUUAGUAUGUAUGAGUUCAGAGCUUCCCAGGUGGCACAGUGGUAAAGGAUCUGCCUGUCAAUGCAGGAGAGGCGGGUUUGAUCCCUGUGGGGAAGACCCCCUGGAGAAGGAAAUGGCAACCCACUCCAGUCUGCUUGUCUGGGAAAUCCCAUGGAUAGAGGAGCUAGGUGGGCUUUAGUUCAUGGGGCUGCAAAGAGUCAGACACAACUGAGGGACUAAACAAUAACACAUAUGAGUUCUACCCAACAGGAGUUGAUUACUUUUGAAAUUGCUUUAACCUUCAUCUAUGAAAUAAUGGAAAACUUUUCACAGUUUCUAUACUACCCAGAUUAUAACUAGUUUAGGCAAUAAAACAACUGCACAUAAGCUCUGGUACAGCUGUGACCUUAGUAUUAUGCCAAAGACCACACCGUAAUGAGUGUUAGAACUGAGAAGCCAGUUGAGAGGUUCUGGUUAUAAGGCUGGUGGGCAAUGUUCAUGCCAGGAGUGCCUUCCAGCUUGCAGUUGUCUUGUAAAGUUCCAGAAACUGUCAGUUUCUGGGCAAGAAGAAGAUGGUUCCCCUACUAUAGGCAGUUGAGGCCAGUGUCUUGUAGGGAUCACCCAGAGUCUCCAACACAUUCUCCCUAGGGGAACCACAAAAAUUACUCAACAGACUUUAUGGAAAACAUUAUUUUGUCUCAGGCACAAUGCCUGGCUCUGAGGGCACAGACAUAAAGACAUAGUCCCUGCCAAGAGGAACUCUCUGUUGAGAUGGGACGUUGAAUUGUAAAAUGACAUCAGAAUGACAACAUCCUGUAAGAAGUACUCCAAUUAAGUGUGAUGACCACAAACAAAAGAUGCACCAGCUCUGCCUGAAGGCACCAGCCAGCACUUUACAGAGGAGGGAACAUCAGACCAGGGGCAGAUAGAUGCACCCUUAUUAGAAACAGGGAACCAUCUUUUCAAAUAUUGACAACAGAAUUUUUAAGGAGUCAAAAGGGAACAUGUUUCCUUUGAAGAAGACUUCAUAGCCCAGGUAGCGGAAGCAAACAUUAUACUUGAUACAAUGUAUGUAUCAAGCGUAUAUUGAUUUUUUGUUGCCAGCAUCUGAUUCCACUUGUUAUAGCCAGCCUCUCCAUAUGAUGCUGAAAAGUAUGCCUCUUGUUUUUGCUUCCUUUCCUACUUGCCCCUUUUCUUGGCAGAGAACGGAUAUCUGACUUCGGCUCUGCCAGCCGGAUGGAGCAAGAGAAGCAGAAAAACACAUUGCGUGGAGAAUCUUUGUGGUGUCACCAGCAUCACUGGGGCUGCAGUUUCCAGAGGCAGUGGCUGUGGAGCCAGUGCCACACCCAGUGUCCAGAGAGAGCUGCAGAGGUGGCUCAAAGCACGAGACCAUGUUUUACGGUGGCAGGAAUGGCAGCCUCAACCCCCUUGGCUGUGUAGUCUGCUUUGGGCUGUAAUUUUUCUGCUUCGUCUCCCUUUCUUUCUGCCUUUUCCGAGUCUGGUUCCUCCACCCAAAAUGUUUGUAAACUCCUCAAUAUAUCCUGUCAUAAAUACCUUUCCUGUUUUA
Bubalus bubalis (water buffalo) is the source of this 3020-nucleotide long non-coding RNA. RefSeq lists it as uncharacterized. The record is from RefSeq and is a predicted model, not a curated record. Lineage: Eukaryota; Metazoa; Chordata; Mammalia; Artiodactyla; Bovidae. The transcript is spliced from 3 exons.